GAGGGUAUAGCUCAAUGGUAGAGCACAGGCUUAUUUAGCAUGCGCAAGGUCCUGGGUUCAAUCCUCAGUUAUCUCC
Molecule: transfer RNA, 76 nt
Filed under: Camelus bactrianus (Bactrian camel)
Lineage: Eukaryota; Metazoa; Chordata; Mammalia; Artiodactyla; Camelidae
Also listed under: 2 other names
Rfam family: tRNA
About the family: Transfer RNA (tRNA) molecules are approximately 80 nucleotides in length. Their secondary structure includes four short double-helical elements and three loops (D, anti-codon, and T loops).
Source: Rfam by way of RNAcentral